RNAcentral lists this ribosomal RNA (253 nucleotides) under uncultured bacterium. RNAcentral describes it as "partial 16S ribosomal RNA". It matches the Rfam family "Bacterial small subunit ribosomal RNA", at positions 524 to 776 of the family's 1533-position model. The record is from RNAcentral.
UACGUAGGGUGCGAGCGUUAAUCGGAAUUACUGGGCGUAAAGCGUGCGCAGGCGGUUCGUUAAGUCAGAUGUGAAAGCCCCGGGCUCAACCUGGGAACUGCAUUUGAAACUGGCGGGCUUGAGUGUGGCAGAGGGGGGUGGAAUUCCGCAUGUAGUGGUGAAAUGCGUAGAUAUGCGGAGGAACACCAGUGGCGAAGGCGGCCUCCUGGUACACUCCUGACACUCAAACGCGAAAGCUAGGGGAGCGAACGGG